GGCAUGGAUUAGGCAUGCAAGUCGAACGAGAAAGCUCCCUUCGGGGAGUGAGUAAAGUGGCGAACGGGAGAGUAACGCGUGGGGAACCUGCCCUUCAGCGGGGGACAACAGUUCUAACGAGCUGCUAAUACCGCAUACGACCUGGCGACCGCAUGAUCACCAGGUGAAAGAUGGCCUCUGCUUGCAAGCUGUCACUGAAGGAUGGUCCCGCGUUCCAUUAGUUUGUUGGUGGGGUAAUGGCCUACCAAGACUACGAUGGGUAGCCGGCCUGAGAGGGUGUCCGGCCUCACUGGGACUGAGAUACGGCCCAGACUCCUACGGGAGGCAGCAGUCGAGAAGCUUCGGCAAUGGACGAAAGUCUGACCGAGCGACGCCGCGUGAGCGAUGAAGGCCCUAGUGGUCGUAAAGCUCUGUCAGGAGGGAAUAAAUGCCUGUGGUGAAUACCCGCAGGAGUUGAAGGUACCUCCAGAGGAAGCGCCGGCUAACUACGUGCCAGCAGCCGCGGUAAUACGUAGGGCGCAAACGUUGUUCGGAUUUACUGGGUUUAAAGGGUUCGUAGGCGGGCUGAUAAGUCAGAGGUGAAAGCCAACGGCUCAACCGUUGAAUGGCCUCUGAUACUGUCAGUCUUGAGUCCGUUAGGGGAUAGUGGAAUUCCUGGUGUAGCGGUGAAAUGCGUAAAUAUCAGGAGGAACACCAGUGGCGAAGGCGGCUAUCUGGGACGGAACUGACGCUGAGGAACGAAAGCUAGGGUAUCAAACGGGAUUAGAUACCCCGGUAGUCCUAGCUGUAAACGAUGGGCACUGGGUGUUGGAGGAGUCUACCCCUUCAGUGCCGCAGCUUAACGCAUUAAGUGCCCCACCUGGGGAGUACGAUCGCAAGGUUGAAACUCAAAGGAAUUGACGGGGGCUCACACAAGCGGUGG
This 922-nucleotide ribosomal RNA is filed under the name uncultured Planctomycetota bacterium. RNAcentral describes it as "bacterial SSU rRNA". It matches the Rfam family "Bacterial small subunit ribosomal RNA", at positions 41 to 935 of the family's 1533-position model. The record is from RNAcentral. Lineage: Bacteria; Pseudomonadati; Planctomycetota.